ACGAACGCUGGCGGCAUGCCUAACACAUGCAAGUCGAACGAGACCUUCGGGUCUAGUGGCGCACGGGUGCGUAACGCGUGGGAACCUGCCCUUAGGUUCGGAAUAACUCCCCGAAAGGGGUGCUAAUACCGGAUAAUGCCUUCGGACCAAAGAUUUAUCGCCUUUGGAUGGGCCCGCGUUGGAUUAGCUAGUUGGUAGGGUAAAAGCCUACCAAGGCGACGAUCCAUAGCUGGUCUGAGAGGAUGAUCAGCCACACUGGGACUGAGACACGGCCCAGACUCCUACGGGAGGCAGCAGUGGGGAAUAUUGGACAAUGGGCGAAAGCCUGAUCCAGCAAUGCCGCGUGAGUGAUGAAGGCCUUAGGGUUGUAAAGCUCUUUUACCCGGGAUGAUAAUGACAGUACCGGGAGAAUAAGCUCCGGCUAACUCCGUG
Molecule: ribosomal RNA, 432 nt
Filed under: uncultured bacterium
Lineage: Bacteria
Description: partial 16S ribosomal RNA
Rfam family: Bacterial small subunit ribosomal RNA
Source: RNAcentral